This 407-nucleotide ribosomal RNA is filed under the name uncultured bacterium. Its description in RNAcentral is "partial 16S ribosomal RNA". It matches the Rfam family "Bacterial small subunit ribosomal RNA", at positions 28 to 526 of the family's 1533-position model. The record is from RNAcentral.
GACGAACGCUGGCGGCGUGCCUAAUACAUGCAAGUAGAACGCAGUUGCGAACGGGUGAGUAACGCGUAGGUACCUGCCUCAUAGCGGGGGACAACUAUUGGAAACGAUAGCUAAUACCGCAUCCUGUGAGAUGGACCCGCGUUGUAUUAGCCAGUUGGUGAGGUAAAGGCUCACCAGGGCGACGAUACAUAGCCGACCUGAGAGGGUGAUCGACGGAGCUGGUACUGAGACACGACCCGGAGGCUUACGGUAGGCAGCAGUAGGAAAUCUUCGGCAAGGGAAGGAAGUCUGACCGGGCAACGCUGCGGGAGUGAAGAGGGUUUGCGGAUCGUAAAGCGCUGUUGUUAGAGAAGCGGUAACUAACCAGAGAGGGACGGCUGACUAGGUGCCAGGAGCCGCGGUAAUUG